RNAcentral lists this non-coding RNA (114 nucleotides) under Synedropsis cf. recta. The record is from RNAcentral. Lineage: Eukaryota; Bacillariophyta; Fragilariophyceae; Fragilariales; Fragilariaceae.
CGGAGGAUGAGAGAGAUUUAGAAGAGAAAGAAAAGAGAACAAGAGGAAAGAUAAGAGAAACUAGGGAAAUGUAAUCGAGUGUCCACAUUGUAGAGUAGAUUUGGUAUAUUUUUU